AUGGAGCUCAACUUCCAGGCCCUGAAGGAGGCCAUCUCUCAGUUCAAGGCUGAUAAGGCUGCUCGCUCACAGAUGGCACCUCCAGAGGUGGAUGGGGAGAGACCAGAGUCCCCACCAGGACCAAGGAUUCCUGGCCUGGGUACAGACUCACCAGGGGGUCUAGGGGACUCUGGAGUUGGUUUCCUCACCCCUGGUCUCCUCACUCCUACCCCUGGUUUCACCCCUUCCUCUGUCUCUCUCCUUGGUCCUGUCCCUCUCCGCUCCAGCCAGUCCCCUGCUGGGAUCCAGAAGGAAGUUACCCUCUCCUCCUUCCACUCUAAGCUGGGUUUGAGUGUAACUACUGGUGCUGAGGUGACCAGUGACAUGUCUUUGUGUGGCUCCCAGGGCAGACUGAACGCUUUCAGCAGCCACCGGGGUCCUCUAGCUGGCAUUGUCACUGAGGGCCAUGGGGAGUCAGGGGCCACACCCAGCAACACUAACGACCUCCCAGGCCCUGAGCCUCCAAGGUCCCAGGGGGAGAACACUAAACCCAGCCCAGAAGAUGGUAGCCUCCAGGGGGGAGGAGAAAUGACUGACAAAGCCCCUAGCAGCCCCCUCCCUGGUCCUCCAGGUCCCAGGGCAGCAGCCCCACGGCCAGUUGGUGGUGGGGAUUACAUAGCGGCAGCUACAGACAGGCUGGCACAGGCAGCCAGACAGCAGCAGAGAAACGGCUUGUUACCCAUGCCUAAUACACUGUUCCUUAACAGUAACCUCAAUCUGCACAACCAUGGCUUGAGCAUAUUCCAACGGCCCAUGUUGAAUAGGCUGGAAGGACCUGCAGGACGGGGGGGUAUUAGACCAUUGAUGCCUAAUGCCAUUGGCUGGGCUAGGAUGGGCCAGGCAGGGGGGUCAGAGUCCUGUCUAUGGGGCCUUCAGCAGCAGAACAUGGGGCUGGGGCGCCACACCUUCCCUCCACGACUGAUGGGGAACCCUCAUCACCCCUGGGGUAGUAACCAGACUGCUAACCAGGGGCGUGGGAAUGGCCCUUGGAAGCGGUGA
RNAcentral lists this long non-coding RNA (1038 nucleotides) under Salmo trutta (river trout). RNAcentral describes it as "lncRNA (ENSSTUG00000015737.1)". The record is from RNAcentral. Lineage: Eukaryota; Metazoa; Chordata; Actinopteri; Salmoniformes; Salmonidae.